UACAGAGGGUGCAAACGUUGCUCGGAAUUAUUGGGCGUAAAGCGCGUGUAGGCGGCUUGUUAAGUCGGUUGUGAAAACCCAUGGCUCAACCAUGGAAGGGCGUCCGAAACUGGCAAGCUAGAGUCCCGACGAGGAUGGCGGAAUUCCCAGUGUAGAGGUGAAAUUCGUAGAUAUCCGGAGGAACACCGGUGGCGAAGGCGGCUUCCUGGACCGACACUGACGCUGAGGCGCGAAAGCUAGGGGAGCAAACGGG
This 253-nucleotide ribosomal RNA is filed under the name uncultured bacterium. RNAcentral's name for it is "partial 16S ribosomal RNA". It matches the Rfam family "Bacterial small subunit ribosomal RNA", at positions 524 to 776 of the family's 1533-position model. The record is from RNAcentral.